UACGUAGGGUGCGAGCGUUGUCCGGAUUUAUUGGGCGUAAAGAGCGUGUAGGCGGCCAUACAGGUCAGCUGUGAAAACUCGAGGCUCAACCUCGAGACGUCGGUUGAAACCGUAUGGCUAGAGUCCGGAAGAGGAGAGUGGAAUUCCUGGUGUAGCGGUGAAAUGCGCAGAUAUCAGGAAGAACACCCGUGGCGAAGGCGGUUCUCUGGGACGGUACUGACGCUGAGACGCGAAAGCGUGGGGAGCGAACAGG
Molecule: ribosomal RNA, 253 nt
Filed under: uncultured bacterium
Lineage: Bacteria
Description: partial 16S ribosomal RNA
Rfam family: Bacterial small subunit ribosomal RNA
Source: RNAcentral